GCCUGGGUGGCUCAGUUGGUUGAGCGUCUGACUUCGGCUCAGGUCGCGAUCUAACAGUUCGUGAGUUCGAGCCCCGCGUCGGGCU
This is a non-coding RNA of Felis catus (domestic cat), 85 nucleotides long. The record is from Rfam. Lineage: Eukaryota; Metazoa; Chordata; Mammalia; Carnivora; Felidae.